UAAGGGGCAGAUACUGUCAGGCAUUGUCAGCAGCUCUCACUGUGUUUCUCCCAACGGCCUGAAAUCUCCUCACCAUGCUCUGGGCUCCCCUCAUCCUCCUGCUGGGGACGUGGUGCACAGGUUCCAGCUCGCAGACUGUGGUGACUCAGCCACCUUCAGUGUCAGUGUCCCCAGGAAACACCGUGAAACUCUCCUGCACCAUGAGCAGUGGGACCAGCAUCAGUGGCUAUGCUGUGUCCUGGUACCAGCAGAAACCUGGGAAUUCCCCACGAUACCUGCUGUAUUACUAUUCAGAUUCCAUCAAGGGCCAGGGUUCUGGGGUCCCUGCUCGCUUCUCUGGUUCCAAAGACACGUCCAGUAACGCCGGCUAUCUGACCAUCUCCGGGGCACUGGCAGAGGAUGAGGCUGAUUAUUACUGUGCUGUGUGGAGUGGAAGUAGCAGUGCUCCUCCUCACUGUGACACAGACAGAUGGGGAAGUGAGACAAAAACUGCCUCUGUCUUCCCACUCCCAGCCUGUGUUCUGCAGGGGCCUGCACAGGCUGCUAGGUUCGGUCUCUGCCUAUAGCAUAUCACACAAAUGCGUGUUCUUCAUGUAACCUUUGGGUGGUCUAGAGUUCACUUCAUUUCCCGUCUCCAGUGCCUUAAAAAACCCCAACUCCCAUA
Non-coding RNA from Chrysemys picta bellii (western painted turtle), 664 nucleotides. The record is from the annotation of a RefSeq genome assembly. Lineage: Eukaryota; Metazoa; Chordata; Testudines; Emydidae.